This 131-nucleotide non-coding RNA is filed under the name Peptococcaceae bacterium. Its description in RNAcentral is "MoCo sequence". It matches the Rfam family "Molybdenum/Tungsten riboswitch aptamer (Moco RNA motif)". Lineage: Bacteria; Bacillati; Bacillota; Clostridia; Eubacteriales; Peptococcaceae. The record is from RNAcentral.
UGAAUCGUCUCGCUCCGAAGCUGGAUCCCCUAAAGCUUAGGCUAUGGUGACCAGACUAGUGUCGAAAGACACUCGGGUAUUAUGGGAAACUGUAAUAUCUCCUGCUGGAAAGGAGUCUGUCGACAGGUGGA